CUGCUCGGCACGCUGCGUCGUGGGUGUUGGGCGUCUCAUCGCAGGCUCGCCACUGCGUUGCUCGACUCGGUAAAUGGGAGGAGCACACCAAGCUCGCAAGCUACAGUAGGAAGCAAUCAAGCGGGCCAGGAAGAGCUGACUGACGGCCGCUACAGCUUGGAUCCAUGGGCUCCCCGCACAAAAAUCUUGGAUCCAUGGACGCCAAGACGCCUCUUCUGCUGCUUGUGACGCUGGCCAAGACGAUGGCCGCUCGUCACCUCCAGGAAGCUACCCAGCUGGCCAGCGCUUGGGCGCUCGUCACCGCCGGACAUUUCCCCUUCUCCUACGCCUUGGGCUCCGCCAUCUUCUACGCACUCUGCUACCUGCAGCUGCUGUGCCGCGAUUCAUGAGAGCAGGAGGACGUCAUGCACCGCGCCCUCUGGAUCGGGCAGUUGUACUGCGCCGCACUCCAGGCGGCCGUGGCGGCGCUGGCUCUGCUGCUCCCGUGCCGUCGCCGCCGGAUCCGCCCUGCCGUUGCCUACCUCGCGGUCGCGGUCGCCAUCGUCGGCCACUGUUUGCUGGCCAGCAUCGCGCCCCUCGCCGCCGACGCAGGACUAGGCUUGCUCGUCCCCUUGAUCGUCUACGCCGUGGCGGCGCUGGUGCUGCUACUCCCGUGCCGUUGCCGCCGGAUCUGCCAUGCCCUCGCCUACCUUGCGCUUGCGGUCGCGGUGGCGGCCGUCGUCAUCGGCUGCUGUAUUUUGGCGAGCUUCGUCCCCAUCGCCGUCGACACAGGACUAGGCAGGCUCAGGCUCAUCCUUUUGGUCGUCUACGUGGCGGUCAUGUUCACCCUUGCGGUGGGCGACCUCAGCUUCCUGGCCCUCCUCCUAGGAGGGGAAUUCCCCUGGGACUGCUGAUUGGUCAGCCCCAAGCUCAUGCCCAUGGAUCAGCUCAUGCUCAUGAGGUACUCACGUACGUACGUAACGAUCGACUUCCGGGGAAUAUUAAUAUUGAUGUGGUGCACUUCAUCUGCCUAGUAUUGGACCUUAAUUUGAUGCUGAAUUAGCCUGUUAUUUGUGUGAUCGAGAUAUGCUAGUAUUGAGUUCGUAGUAUUGAUGAACAAGCUACAUAUAUGGAGUCUGCUUUGAUGUAAUAUUGGACCUUUUUCUCUGCAUGAUCACCGGUAUAUGCCUAGCUUCGGUAUAAUUGAUGUUGCUGAAAUCGUCUAUGUAUGCAUGCACUCAUGUUGUAUUUGGCGUUAAGCAUUUCAUUAUGCUGGC
Non-coding RNA from Triticum urartu, 1256 nucleotides. Lineage: Eukaryota; Viridiplantae; Streptophyta; Magnoliopsida; Poales; Poaceae. The record is from RefSeq and is a predicted model, not a curated record.